UGUCCUAGUACUACUACAUGGAACCUUUAACUUCAAAAUCGAUUGUCAGUCUUAUAAAUUGGAUACCUCAUUCCAGUGUCAACAAAACAUAUGAUCAUCUCUUUUGUAUCUUCAGUGCCCUUCGGAAGCCCCCUCAUUCCAAGUGUAUGGUCUAUGAUCUUUUAUUAUCGUCCUUUUUCAUGCUUUCUUCAUCCUCUAUUAUCAAAUCAUUCUUGUUAUCCUUCUAGAAAAAUUGAGAGGAAUCACCGAAGAAAACAUUAAGAACAUGCAUCCACAUGGAUGAUGAUAUUAUAACUGAAAUCAACUAAUACAAUGAUUUUCUCACAUAGUGAAAUAUAAGAACUUAUGUUACUAAAGCUAAUACCUCUAACUUAUCUCUGGCAGAAGUUUCAUUGUGCUAAAAGAUUGGUAACUACAUUUCCUUGUAACCAUUCAAAAGCGAAGAAUAUGGAAAUUCGAGGAAGAAAAUAAGGAAAAUUUAAAUUUCUAAAGUUCAAUUGUUUCAAAAGCGGAAAAAUCCAAUACAACCUCCAUUAUAAUCUAGUCAAAGUUCUAUUUUCACAAAGAUCCAUAUUUCAUAUACAAAAUAACAUAAGAAAGUGAAAACAAAAAUCCGUACCUUCACCUCAUACAACUUCCACAAUAAUAGAAAUGAUUGAUUACUUGAGUUACUUUAAUAACAGUUAAGUACAAUUCAACCAUUCGCGAAGUUGAUUUACAGAUCGUCCUGAAAUACCCACCCUGAUUUUAUGGAGUUCAUAGACGUUGAUUCACCUUUUCUCUUAUCUUUUCCCUCUCUAAUCCCUCUUCUGUCAUCAUAAAAUCAAAUGAAAUACACAGUUCAGACUUUUAUUUUAUUUUAUUUUUGUGCUUGUGAAUCAGAACAAUGAAACCCUCAAAGUUGGGAAAGGGUUUGGAUGAGAUUGUGAAAAACGAAGAGUACCUACUCAACUGUGUAUUUCUGUUUGUUGCUUAGAAAGGAAAAAAAUUCAUCCUACACUUUUAAUUGCUUUUU
This 1015-nucleotide long non-coding RNA is filed under the name Solanum tuberosum (potato). RNAcentral describes it as "long non-coding RNA (STUB_LNC002791)". The record is from RNAcentral. Lineage: Eukaryota; Viridiplantae; Streptophyta; Magnoliopsida; Solanales; Solanaceae.